Molecule: long non-coding RNA, 516 nt
Filed under: Oryctolagus cuniculus (rabbit)
Lineage: Eukaryota; Metazoa; Chordata; Mammalia; Lagomorpha; Leporidae
Description: lncRNA (ENSOCUG00000036595.1)
Source: RNAcentral
AUGUCCGUGGCCUUGGCGGUGUGUCUGUCCUUCACGCAUGCGCAGAGAAGGAGGCGCUGGAGCAGGCUGCACCGUUUUGUAGGUCUCCAGGGGCAGGAGGACAGAACUGGCCACGGGGACAGAACUGCAGGGGAGCUCCAAGGUGUGACACGCGUGCCUUUGACACCCAGUGACAUUUUCAUUCGGAGUGAGCGCGCCUCCUGGGGCGGCCCUGUGGCUGGUCCCGGUUGGGCAGUGGCGCGCGCUGGCCGGUGCGCCGCGGUGGCCUUGCCUGUGGACGGGUGCGUGGUCAGCCCGCAGCGCCAGGGCAGGCGCGAGCGAACGCGCGCUUUCUGCCUUUCUUCUGACAGGAGUGGCGCGGCCCUGAUUUAUGGCCGCACUUCACGGGACACUGGGGUUCAUUCUUCAAAAUUUUGUAGAAAAUUGGAAUUAAAGGCGCCUGCCAGCCCCACGCCAGGUUCUGGGGAAGUGGAGAUGAGGAGCAAACCACCUGUGCCUCAGCAGGUCCAGUUCUGA